AUUGAACGCUGGCGGCAGGCCUAACACAUGCAAGUCGAGCGGAUGAAGGGAGCUUGCUCCUGGAUUCAGCGGCGGACGGGUGAGUAAUGCCUAGGAAUCUGCCUGGUAGUGGGGGAUAACGUCCGAAAACGGGCGCUAAUACCGCAUACGUCCUGAGGGAGAAAGUGGGGGAUCUUCGGACCUCACGCUAUCAGAUGAGCCUAGGUCGGAUUAGCUAGUUGGUGGGGUAAAGGCCUACCAAGGCGACGAUCCGUAACUGGUCUGAGAGGAUGAUCAGUCACACUGGAACUGAGACACGGUCCAGACUCCUACGGGAGGCAGCAGUGGGGAAUAUUGGACAAUGGGCGAAAGCCUGAUCCUGCCAUGCCGCGUGUGUGAAGAAGGUCUUCGGAUUGUAAAGCACUUUAAGUUGGGAGGAAGGGCAGUAAGUUAAUACCUUGCUGUUUUGACGUUACCAACAGAAUAAGCACCGGCUAACUUCGUG
Molecule: ribosomal RNA, 484 nt
Filed under: uncultured bacterium
Lineage: Bacteria
Description: partial 16S ribosomal RNA
Rfam family: Bacterial small subunit ribosomal RNA
Source: RNAcentral